AUUGAACGCUGGCGGUAUGCUUAACACAUGCAAGUCGAACGGCAGCAUGGUCUAGCUUGCUAGGCUGAUGGCGAGUGGCGGACGGGUGAGUAACGCGUAGGAAUAUGCCUUGAAGAGUGGGACAACUUGGGGAAACUCAAGCUAAUACCGCAUGUACUCGAGAGAGUAAAGCUGGGGACCUUUAGGCCUGGCGCUUUAAGAUUAGCCUGCGUCCGAUUAGCUAGUUGGUAGGGUAAAGGCCUACCAAGGCGACGAUCGGUAGCUGGUCUGAGAGGAGGAUCAGCCACACUGGAACUGAGAGACGGUCCAGACUCCAACGGGAGGCAGCAGUUGGGAAUAUUGGACAAUGGGGGGAACCCUGAUCCAACAAUGCCGCGUGUGUGAAGAAGGCCUGAGGGUUGUAAAGCACUUUCAGUGGGGGGGAGGUUUGGAAGGUUAAGAGCUAUUCAAAUGGACGUUACCCACAGAAGAAGCACCGGCUAACUCCGUGCCAGCAGCCGCCGUAA
RNAcentral lists this ribosomal RNA (506 nucleotides) under uncultured bacterium. Its description in RNAcentral is "partial 16S ribosomal RNA". It matches the Rfam family "Bacterial small subunit ribosomal RNA", at positions 30 to 523 of the family's 1533-position model. The record is from RNAcentral.